CUGUUGCCAUGGCUGCUUGUCAUUGAUAGAAGGACUCACGGGCUUGGAUUGGUUAGAAGGCUAAACGGAGUCAAGAAACUUCCUCCAGGUAUGGGGUUCUGGUCAGUGCCUUGGACAUGUGACUUAAGGGGAUAGCAUGAAUGCCUGUAGAUCAUGGAAAUCGGGUGGACUGCAGAACCAUUUGGAGGAAGUGGCUGGGGGUUGGGGAUCGAUUUGGUGGUGGUAUUUUACCAACUCUGGUCUCUUCCCCUGAAAUCAGAGUAAUGCAGCUAUGCCAAAACCCAGAGAAGAGCCACACUUAGCUUCUGCUUUUGGGAAAACUGGUCAGCUAAAGCCCCGGUAGUUCCUUUGCGGCUUUCUGUAUACUUUUGCCUGGUUGAAGUCUGUGGCUGAAAAAUAGUUGAACCUUUCCUGAGAACUCUGUAACAAAGUAUGUUUUUGAUUAAAAGAGAAAGCCAAUUAAAUCAUUAUGUGCUCAUUCUUUUUCUUAAGCUCGUGGAUGUCUUGAAUCUGGAAAGAGUUCCUAAUCACUGGGAGAAUUCUCAAACUUGAGGACGACCGUUUCCUUCACUGCUUUGUGACCACUGAAAUGGAAUAUACAGCAUUUCAGAUAUGACCGUGCAAGAAGAGUCCCCAUUCUUUUCCCAUUUCUAAAAGGAGACAGGGUGGAGAGAUGGUGGUUGGAGAAGAGGAGGAUGCUAGGGGAUGAUGAGAACCAAGAUGCUUAAAGGAGAGGCAGACACUGGAAAUCGGAGGCCAUGUCAUUGCCCACCUAAGAAUUAAGGAAAGCUAUUAGCUCCCUAGUUCCCUCUUCUCUAAAAAGGGAAGCAAGGGGGGUGGGGGGCGGGAGGGGGAUGAGAUCAGGUAAGAUGACUCUAUGGCAAUGACUUAUGAAUUGCAUGACCAAAUCAGUAUUUUCUUUCUGAUCUUGCUGACCUGAGUUCCAGAGAUAUUUAUUAGGCUGAGAGACUUGUUCUCACCUCACCUAAAGUUUAUGGUAUUUUAUUUUAAAAGGUUAGAACUCAAAGGGGGUAGUAGAUUGACAUUCUUUGGGAAAAAAUAAAAACUUUUUUUGUGAAGCACUUAAGGAUAAAGGGCAGUUGUAUGUAUUCAUCUCUGCCCUUUGCUCUUGAAUCCUAAUUCUUUCUGCUUUAUUCCAUGCCCUGCCUCAUCAAAAGUCCCACAAAUGGUAACCUCAAAACCCCAAAUCCCCUUCAAACCCUUUCUUCCCCCAUCAACGUGCUUUUCCUUCACCCCUUUCUGUUCUAAAAGAGGAAUUAUUUUUGGUUCUCUGCCAUACUUUGGGGAUGGCACCCACUUCUAUAUUUUGAUGUUCUGUUGAACUACCACUUGGUCUCAGACAGAUAGAAUAGAUUCAGAAGACCAGAGAAUUUUAUCUCCAACAGAUACACCCUGAAAGAAUGGCUAAAGGAAGUUCUCUAAAAAGAAAGGAAAUGAUAAAAGAGGAGAAAUGGAAACUUUGGGGGAAAAAAAAAAAACACAUGGUAAGCAUAAAUACAAAAACAGUAGGCUUUCCUUUUCAUCUUGAGUUUUCUAAAUUUAUAUUUGCUGAAGCAAAAAUUAUAACACUGCCUAUGCCUAAGGUAAUUCUAAAUGUAUAUAGCGGGAAUAUUUGAAACUACUGACAAGGCUGUAUAAAGAGACAUUCAGAAAUACUAAAGAUAAAAUGCAAUUAUAAAAAAAGCUCAAGUAUCUUACAAUAGGCAGAAAAAAAAGCAGAAAGUUAAAAUGGCAGACUAAGCUUUAACAUACCAAUAAUUACAUUAAAUAUAAAUGGUCUAAAUAUGCUAAUUAAAAGACACUUAUUGGCAAAUUGGAAUAAGAAACAUGAUCCAAGGGCGCUUGGGUGGCUCAGUCAGUUAAGCGUCUGCGUUCAGCUCAGGUCAUCAUCUCCAGGUCCUGGGAUCAGCUGGGAGUCAGGCUUCCUGCUCAGCAGGGAGUCUGCAUCUCUCUCUGUCUCUGUCUCUCUCUCUCUCUCUCUCUCCUCCUCUGCCCCUCCCACCACUUGUUGUCUCUCAAAAAAAAAAAAAAAAAA
RNAcentral lists this long non-coding RNA (2056 nucleotides) under Canis lupus familiaris (dog). RNAcentral's name for it is "lncRNA (ENSCAFG00000056910.1)". The record is from RNAcentral. Lineage: Eukaryota; Metazoa; Chordata; Mammalia; Carnivora; Canidae.